This 497-nucleotide ribosomal RNA is filed under the name uncultured bacterium. RNAcentral describes it as "partial 16S ribosomal RNA". It matches the Rfam family "Bacterial small subunit ribosomal RNA", at positions 28 to 507 of the family's 1533-position model. The record is from RNAcentral.
GAUGAACGCUGGCGGCGUGCCUAAUACAUGCAAGUCGAGCGAACAGACGAGGAGCUUGCUCCUCUGACGUUAGCGGCGGACGGGUGAGUAACACGUGGAUAACCUACCUAUAAGACUGGGAUAACUUCGGGAAACCGGAGCUAAUACCGGAUAAUAUAUUGAACCGCAUGGUUCAAUAGUGAAAGACGGUUUUGCUGUCACUUAUAGAUGGAUCCGCGCCGCAUUAGCUAGUUGGUAAGGUAACGGCUUACCAAGGCAACGAUGCGUAGCCGAACUCAGAGGGGGGUCGGCCGCCCUGGAACUUGGCCACCGUCCAGACUCCUACGGGAGGCACCAGUAUGGAAUCUUCCGCAAUGGGCGAAAGCUUGACGGAGCAAUGCCGCGUGAGUGAUGAAGGCCUUCGGAUCGUAAAACUCUGUUAUUAGGGAAGAACAAAUGUGUAAGUAACUAUGCACGUCUUGACGGUACCUAAUCAGAAAGCCACGGCUAACUACGUG